Molecule: ribosomal RNA, 465 nt
Filed under: uncultured bacterium
Lineage: Bacteria
Description: partial 16S ribosomal RNA
Rfam family: Bacterial small subunit ribosomal RNA
Source: RNAcentral
GAUGAACGCUGGCGGCGUGCUUAACACAUGCAAGUCGAACGGAAAGGCUCCUGCUUGCCGGGGUCCUCGAGUGGCGAACGGGUGAGUAACACGUGGGUGAUCUGCCCUGCACUUCGGGAUAAGCCUGGGAAACUGGGUCUAAUACCGGAUAGGACGAUGGUUUGGAUGCCAUUGUGGAAAGUUUUUCGGUGUGGGAUGAGCUCGCGGCCUAUCAGCUUGUUGGUGGGGUAAUGGCCUACCAAGGCGUCGACGGGUAGCCGGCCUGAGAGGGUGUACGGCCACAUUGGGACUGAGAUACGGCCCAGACUCCUACGGGAGGCAGCAGUGGGGAAUAUUGCACAAUGGGCGCAAGCCUGAUGCAGCGACGCCGCGUGGGGGAUGACGGCCUUCGGGUUGUAAACUCCUUUCGCUAGGGACGAAGCGAAAGUGACGGUACCUGGAGAAGAAGCACCGGCUAACUACGUG